AAGGAUCAUUAUCGAAUAAACUUGAGCAGGCUGUUGCUGGCCCCCCUCCCGGGUACGUGCACGCUUGUUCUUUGUUAUUUCUCCAACUUGUGCACAUUUUGUAGACCCUGGAGCUUUGUGGAUUUAACAUUCCGAGUCGGGACUGCUGUUCUUCUCCUGAAGUCAGCUUUGCCUUGCAUCUCCAGGUCUAUGUCAAUUUUUAUGUCUUCACAACCAUGUUUAGAAUGUUGGGAUCAGGUCUUUUUGUACCUAUAGAAAUGAAAAAUAUACAACUUUCAGCAACGGAUCUCUUGGCUCUC
This 299-nucleotide unclassified non-coding RNA is filed under the name uncultured fungus. Its description in RNAcentral is "partial contains 18S rRNA, ITS1, 5.8S rRNA, ITS2 and 28S rRNA". Lineage: Eukaryota; Fungi. The record is from RNAcentral.